Molecule: ribosomal RNA, 254 nt
Filed under: uncultured bacterium
Lineage: Bacteria
Description: partial 16S ribosomal RNA
Rfam family: Bacterial small subunit ribosomal RNA
Source: RNAcentral
UACGGGGGGAGCAAGCGUUGUUCGGAUUUACUGGGCGUAAAGGGCGCGUAGGCGGUCAGCACAAGUCAGUUGUGAAAUCUCCGGGCUUAACUCGGAAAGGUCAACUGAUACUGCGCGACUAGAGUGCAGAAGGGGCAACUGGAAUUCUCGGUGUAGCGGUGAAAUGCGUAGAUAUCGAGAGGAACACCUGCGGCGAAGGCGGGUUGCUGGGCUGACACUGACGCUGAUGCGCGAAAGCCAGGGGAGCGAAAGGG